GCCUGGGUGGCUCAGUUGGUUGAGCGUCUGACUUCGGCUCAGGACAUGAUCUCACAGUCUGUGAGUUCGAGCCCCACAUCAGGUU
This 85-nucleotide transfer RNA is filed under the name Felis catus (domestic cat). It matches the Rfam family "tRNA". From Rfam's summary of the family: Transfer RNA (tRNA) molecules are approximately 80 nucleotides in length. Their secondary structure includes four short double-helical elements and three loops (D, anti-codon, and T loops). The record is from Rfam by way of RNAcentral. Lineage: Eukaryota; Metazoa; Chordata; Mammalia; Carnivora; Felidae.